UUACCCUUAAGCUUAACUAAAGCAUAACAC
This 30-nucleotide transfer RNA is filed under the name Scaphirhynchus platorynchus (shovelnose sturgeon). Its description in RNAcentral is "partial tRNA-Phe". The record is from RNAcentral. Lineage: Eukaryota; Metazoa; Chordata; Actinopteri; Acipenseriformes; Acipenseridae. RNAcentral also lists the same sequence under 1 other name.